UUAAGAGUAGUUUAUUUAGAAUGGCAGCUUUGGGAGUUGUUGGUCAAUUAUUUUGUUCUUAAA
This 63-nucleotide transfer RNA is filed under the name Prosthiostomum siphunculus. RNAcentral describes it as "tRNA-Pro". Lineage: Eukaryota; Metazoa; Platyhelminthes; Polycladida; Prosthiostomidae. The record is from RNAcentral.